RNAcentral lists this ribosomal RNA (495 nucleotides) under uncultured bacterium. RNAcentral's name for it is "partial 16S ribosomal RNA". It matches the Rfam family "Bacterial small subunit ribosomal RNA", at positions 28 to 507 of the family's 1533-position model. The record is from RNAcentral.
GAUGAACGCUGGCGGCGUGCUUAACACAUGCAAGUCGAACGAAGCACCUCUCCCGAAGAUUGACACAGCUUGCUGUAGAUUGAUUCAUUUGAGGUGACUGAGUGGCGGACGGGUGAGUAACGCGUGGGUAACCUGCCUCAUAGAGGGGGACAACAGUUGGAAACGACUGCUAAUACCGCAUAGUAAGAAGAAUUCGCAUGUUUUCUUCUUGAAAGAUUUAUCGCUAUGAGAUGGACCCGCGUCUGAUUAGCUAGUUGGUAAGGUAACGGCUUACCAAGGCGACGAUCAGUAGACGGCUAGAGAGAGUGAACGGCCACAUUGGGACUGAGACACAGCCCAAACUCCUACGGGAGGCAGCAGUGGGGAAUAUUGCACAAUGGGGGAAACCCUGAUGCAGCGACGCCGCGUGAGUGAAGAAGUAUUUCGGUAAGUAAAGCUCUAUCAGCAGGGAAGAUAAUGACGGUACCUGACUAAGAAGCCCCGGCUAACUACGUG